RNAcentral lists this ribosomal RNA (495 nucleotides) under uncultured bacterium. RNAcentral's name for it is "partial 16S ribosomal RNA". It matches the Rfam family "Bacterial small subunit ribosomal RNA", at positions 28 to 507 of the family's 1533-position model. The record is from RNAcentral.
GACGAACGCUGGCGGCGUGCCUAAUACAUGCAAGUAGAACGCUGAAGGAGGAGCUUGCUUCUCUGGAUGAGUUGCGAACGGGUGAGUAACGCGUAGGUAACCUGCCUGGUAGCGGGGGAUAACUAUUGGAAACGAUAGCUAAUACCGCAUAAUAGUAGAUGUUGCAUGACAUUUGCUUAAAAGGUGCAAUUGCAUCACUACCAGAUGGACCUGCGUUGGAUUAGCUAGUUGGUGAGGUAACGGCUCACCAAGGCAACGAUACAUAGCCGACCUGAGAGGGUGGUCGGCCACACUGGGACUGGGACACGGCCCAGACGCCUACGGGAGGCAGCAGUAGGGAAUCUUCGGCAAUGGACGGAAGUCUGACCGAGCAACGCCGCGGGAGUGAAGAAGGUUUUCGGAUCGUAAAGCUCUGUUGUAAGGGAAGAACGAGUGUGAGAGUGGAAAGUUCACACUGUGACGGUAUCUUACCAGAAAGGGACGGCUAACUACGUG